CUUACGGCCAGGGCUACACACGUGCUACAAUGGUCGGUACAAAGGGUUGCUACACAGCGAUGUGAUGCUAAUCUCAAAAAGCCGAUCGUAGUCCGGAUUGGAGUCUGCAACUCGACUCCAUGAAGUCGGAAUCGCUAGUAAUCGCGGAUCAGAAUGCCGCGGUGAAUACGUUCCCGGGCCUUGUACACACCGCCCGUCACACCAUGGGAGUUUGUUGCACCAGAAGUAGCUAGCCUAACUGCAAAGAGGGCGGUUACCACGGUGUGGCCGAUGACUGGGGUGAAGUCGUAACAAGGUAGCCGUAGGGGAACCUGCGGCUGGAUCACCUCCUUAA
This 334-nucleotide ribosomal RNA is filed under the name Acinetobacter baumannii. RNAcentral describes it as "bacterial SSU rRNA". It matches the Rfam family "Bacterial small subunit ribosomal RNA", at positions 1201 to 1533 of the family's 1533-position model. The record is from RNAcentral. Lineage: Bacteria; Pseudomonadati; Pseudomonadota; Gammaproteobacteria; Moraxellales; Moraxellaceae.